Molecule: non-coding RNA, 58 nt
Organism: Dipodomys ordii (Ord's kangaroo rat)
Lineage: Eukaryota; Metazoa; Chordata; Mammalia; Rodentia; Heteromyidae
Source: Rfam
UGGCUCAGUGGUAGAGCGCUUGCCUUGCAUGCCAGAGGCCCUGGGUUCGAUUCCUCAG